CUUCCACAGGAUGGUUCAGGAGAACAUCACAAUGUCCCACAGGAUGAUCAGGUUCAGAAUCCAGGUGAAGAUCUGAACAUUAUAUAUGUUACAGAGACACAUGUGAGGGGUGAUGUGCAGAGUAUAGAGGACAUCCCUACAGAUAACUGCCCAGAUGACUAUAUCAUGAGCUCAAAGGGACUUCCGAUACCUAAAGAUGUAAAAGCAAAUGAUCAUGCUCUGGUACAAGAUGCUUAUGAAGUAUAUGUCAUUAUCCCAGAUACACCCUCAGCCUUGCAAAGCAACAGUCAAUCAUCUGAUCUUUUUCAGCGAGUCCUGCGUUUUGAU
Bufo bufo (common toad) is the source of this 327-nucleotide long non-coding RNA. RefSeq lists it as uncharacterized. The transcript has 3 exons. The record is from RefSeq and is a predicted model, not a curated record. Lineage: Eukaryota; Metazoa; Chordata; Amphibia; Anura; Bufonidae.